AGAGUUUGAUCAUGGCUCAGAUUGAACGCUGGCGGCAGGCCUAACACAUGCAAGUCGAACGGUAACAGGAAGCAGCUUGCUGCUUUGCUGACGAGUGGCGGACGGGUGAGUAAUGUCUGGGAAACUGCCUGAUGGAGGGGGAUAACUACUGGAAACGGUAGCUAAUACCGCAUAACGUCGCAAGACCAAAGAGGGGGACCUUCGGGCCUCUUGCCAUCGGAUGUGCCCAGAUGGGAUUAGCUUGUUGGUGGGGUAACGGCUCACCAAGGCGACGAUCCCUAGCUGGUCUGAGAGGAUGACCAGCCACACUGGAACUGAGACACGGUCCAGACUCCUACGGGAGGCAGCAGUGGGGAAUAUUGCACAAUGGGCGCAAGCCUGAUGCAGCCAUGCCGCGUGUAUGAAGAAGGCCUUCGGGUUGUAAAGUACUUUCAGCGGGGAGGAAGGGAGUAAAGUUAAUACCUUUACUCAUUGACGUUACCCGCAGAAGAAGCACCGGCUAACUCCGUGCCAGCAGCCGCGGUAAUACGGAGGGUGCAAGCGUUAAUCGGAAUUACUGGGCGUAAAGCGCACGCAGGCGGUUUGUUAAGUCAGAUGUGAAAUCCCCGGGCUCAACCUGGGAACUGCAUCUGAUACUGGCAAGCUUGAGUCUCGUAGAGGGGGGUAGAAUUCCAGGUGUAGCGGUGAAAUGCGUAGAGAUCUGGAGGAAUACCGGUGGCGAAGGCGGCCCCCUGGACGAAGACUGACGCUCAGGUGCGAAAGCGUGGGGAGCAAACAGGAUUAGAUACCCUGGUAGUCCACGCCGUAAACGAUGUCGACUUGGAGGUUGUGCCCUUGAGGCGUGGCUUCCGGAGCUAACGCGUUAAGUCGACCGCCUGGGGAGUACGGCCGCAAGGUUAAAACUCAAAUGAAUUGACGGGGGCCCGCACAAGCGGUGGAGCAUGUGGUUUAAUUCGAUGCAACGCGAAGAACCUUACCUGGUCUUGACAUCCACAGAACUUUCCAGAGAUGGAUUGGUGCCUUCGGGAACUGUGAGACAGGUGCUGCAUGGCUGUCGUCAGCUCGUGUUGUGAAAUGUUGGGUUAAGUCCCGCAACGAGCGCAACCCUUAUCCUUUGUUGCCAGCGGUCCGGCCGGGAACUCAAAGGAGACUGCCAGUGAUAAACUGGAGGAAGGUGGGGAUGACGUCAAGUCAUCAUGGCCCUUACGACCAGGGCUACACACGUGCUACAAUGGCGCAUACAAAGAGAAGCGACCUCGCGAGAGCAAGCGGACCUCAUAAAGUGCGUCGUAGUCCGGAUUGGAGUCUGCAACUCGACUCCAUGAAGUCGGAAUCGCUAGUAAUCGUGGAUCAGAAUGCCACGGUGAAUACGUUCCCGGGCCUUGUACACACCGCCCGUCACACCAUGGGAGUGGGUUGCAAAAGAAGUAGGUAGCUUAACCUUCGGGAGGGCGCUUACCACUUUGUGAUUCAUGACUGGGGUGAAGUCGUAACAAGGUAACCGUAGGGGAACCUGCGGUUGGAUCACCU
Molecule: ribosomal RNA, 1530 nt
Filed under: Escherichia coli
Lineage: Bacteria; Pseudomonadati; Pseudomonadota; Gammaproteobacteria; Enterobacterales; Enterobacteriaceae
Description: bacterial SSU rRNA
Rfam family: Bacterial small subunit ribosomal RNA
Source: RNAcentral